GAAAAACGAGUUGGCCAGAAACGU
This 24-nucleotide non-coding RNA is filed under the name Arabidopsis thaliana (thale cress). Lineage: Eukaryota; Viridiplantae; Streptophyta; Magnoliopsida; Brassicales; Brassicaceae. The record is from RNAcentral.